AACCUAGCACACCUGCGGUGUGUACCUGCGGAGGGAUCAUUACAGAGAUUGAUGCACCAAGUGCAUCACCUCCAACCCCUUGCGAAAACAACUAUCAUGUGUUGCUUUGGCAGUGUUUCCACUGCCAGAGGUUUACAUAAAAUCAGCUGUUUGGAUGUUGUCUGAGUAAACUAUAUGAAUUAUUUAAAACUUUUAACAAUGGAUCU
This 206-nucleotide unclassified non-coding RNA is filed under the name soil metagenome. RNAcentral's name for it is "partial contains 5.8S ribosomal RNA, internal transcribed spacer 2, and large subunit ribosomal RNA". The record is from RNAcentral.